RNAcentral lists this ribosomal RNA (466 nucleotides) under uncultured Thermoactinomyces sp. RNAcentral describes it as "bacterial SSU rRNA". It matches the Rfam family "Bacterial small subunit ribosomal RNA", at positions 338 to 795 of the family's 1533-position model. The record is from RNAcentral. Lineage: Bacteria; Bacillati; Bacillota; Bacilli; Caryophanales; Thermoactinomycetaceae.
CCUACGGGGGGCAGCAGUAGGGAAUUUUCCGCAAUGGGCGAAAGCCUGACGGAGCAACGCCGCGUGAGUGAGGACGGCCUUCGGGUUGUAAAACUCUGUUCUUGAGGAAGAAUUCCUUCCAGGCGAACAGCCUGGAAGGUUGACGGUACUCAAGGAGAAAGCCCCGGCUAACUACGUGCCAGCAGCCGCGGUAAUACGUAGGGGGCGAGCGUUAUCCGGAAUUAUUGGGCGUAAAGCGCGCGCAGGCGGCUGAUUAAGUCAGGUGUGAAAGGCUGCGGCUCAACCGCAGAGCGGCACCUGAAACUGGUCAGCUUGAGUGCAGGAGAGGGGAGCGGAAUUCCCGGUGUAGCGGUGGAAUGCGUAGAGAUCGGGAGGAACACCAGUGGCGAAGGCGGCUCUCUGGCCUGUAACUGACGCUGAGGCGCGAAAGCGUGGGGAGCAAACAGGAUUAGAUACCCCGGUAGUC